CGCCUCUCGAACAAAUAUGAGAGGUCCAGCCUGCCCAGUGACUCUGUUCAACGGCCGCGGUAUCCUAACCGUGCAAAGGUAGCGUAAUCACUUGUCCUUUAAAUGGGGACUAGUAUGAACGGCACCACGAAGGUUACACUGUCUCCUUUUCCCAAUCAGUGAAACUGAUCUCCCCGUGAAGAAGCGGGGAUACACAUAUAAGACGAGAAGACCCUAUGGAGCUUUAAACAAGGUAACAACCGCCACCUUAUUCAAAUUUCAGAAUACUUGCCCUUAUCCUGGCGGCAUGAUUACUAGUUUUAGGUUGGGGUGACCGCGGAGAAUAAACCAACCUCCGUGUUGAAGGGGGCCUCCCCUAAGCAAAAAACCACAACUUUAUGCAUCAAUAAAUUGACAUUAAUUGACCCAAUAUUUUGACCAACGAACCAAGUUACCCUAGGGAUAACAGCGCAAUCCAUUUUGAGAGCCCCUAUCGACAAAUGGGUUUACGACCUCGAUGUUGGAUCAGGGUAUCCCAGUGGUGCAGCCGCUACUAAAGGUUCGUUUGUUCAACGACUAAGACCCU
Molecule: ribosomal RNA, 565 nt
Filed under: Fritziana aff. fissilis 1 SCF-2015
Lineage: Eukaryota; Metazoa; Chordata; Amphibia; Anura; Hemiphractidae
Description: partial 16S ribosomal RNA
Rfam family: Bacterial large subunit ribosomal RNA
Source: RNAcentral